UGCGUAGGCGGAAUAUUAAGUCAGUGGUGAAAUCCUGCGGCUCAACCGUAGAACUGCCAUUGAUACUGAUAUUCUUGAAUGUAGUUGAGGUAGGCGGAAUGUGUAAUGUAGCGGUGAAAUGCUUAGAUAUUACACAGAACACCGAUUGCGAAGGCAGCUUACUAAACUAUUAUUGACGCUGAUGCACGAAAGCGUGGGGAGCGAACAGGAUUAGAUACCCUGGUAGUCC
RNAcentral lists this ribosomal RNA (229 nucleotides) under uncultured bacterium. RNAcentral's name for it is "partial 16S ribosomal RNA". It matches the Rfam family "Bacterial small subunit ribosomal RNA", at positions 568 to 796 of the family's 1533-position model. The record is from RNAcentral.